This 403-nucleotide ribosomal RNA is filed under the name uncultured bacterium. Its description in RNAcentral is "bacterial SSU rRNA". It matches the Rfam family "Bacterial small subunit ribosomal RNA", at positions 976 to 1380 of the family's 1533-position model. The record is from RNAcentral.
AGGGCUUGACAUAAACAGGAAUAGAUUAGAGAUAGUCUAGCUCUUCGGAGUCUGUUUACAGGUGGUGCAUGGUUGUCGUCAGCUCGUGUCGUGAGAUGUUGGGUUAAGUCCCGCAACGAGCGCAACCCCUAUCGUUAGUUGCCAGCACGUAAAGGUGGGAACUCUAGCGAGACUGCCGGUGAUAAAUCGGAGGAAGGUGGGGAUGACGUCAAAUCAUCAUGCCCUUUAUGUCCUGGGCUACACACGUACUACAAUGGCCGCAACAGAGGGAAGCAAUAUAGCAAUAUGGAGCAAAACCCUAAAAACGGUCUCAGUUCGGAUUGAAGGCUGAAAUUCGCCUUCAUGAAGCUGGAAUUGCUAGUAAUGGCAGGUCAGCAUACUGCCGUGAAUACGUUCCCGGGCC